Molecule: non-coding RNA, 915 nt
Organism: Nothobranchius furzeri (turquoise killifish)
Lineage: Eukaryota; Metazoa; Chordata; Actinopteri; Cyprinodontiformes; Nothobranchiidae
Source: RefSeq, a predicted model, not a curated record
AUGAGCUGGUGCUGGCACGGGAAUCCUCAUCCGACAUACCGGUUAGGAUUGGAGAAGAGCCGCAACCUGAGGAGAAAUGGGAGGAAAUCUGAAAAGUGAAAGUAACCCAAAAAUGUGGAGCACUUGUGAAUAAAGAUCCUGCAAACAUGGCGUCACUGAUCUGGAUCCCUGCCAAAACUCAAAAGUCGACCCAACCAUGAAUUUAUUCAUGAGUUUCUGAUACUAACAGGUGUGUGUGUGUGUGUGUGUGUGUGUGUGUGUGUGUGUGUGUGUGUGUGUGAUAAGCAGUGAGGAGGUGAGGCCUACAUUAAAGUAUUGAAGCAUGUUAACAAAAACCACAGGUUUUCUUCUCACAAGCUGACCACGGUGUGUUUUAUUGGGUGCUUCAGAUAUACAAGUGCACAACAAACCACCCUGCAGCGGCAGAGGUGGCGGGUAGCCAGUAAAUAUACAAGUCCUGCCUCUUUCACGGGCAGACCUAUACUUUUGUGGUCUGCCUCAAAAGCCUUAAAAAAACAACAACAACAAACAUACAGUACAAACAAAAUCAGAAGAGGCUAAAAAGCAAGAAGAAUUCAUGGAUGCAAACUUCCUUUUCCAUGCAGAUAAACCAAUGACGGACACGAAAACAAGGAGAAAGGAAGUGGAGCGGAGUCUGCAUGUUUGUUCCAGGUGCCACUAAGAAGAACAUCCCGUAGAGCUGGAGGACAACGACGUGUGUGAUAAUAAUAAUAUUCUGUUUUCUCCAAUGCGAUAAUUCCAACAUUCAGAUAUUGGAACAUAAAAAUCCAGAUCUACUCUUUGUAUAAAAAAGAAGCUUUCAAGUCAACAAGGAACAAAGGACAAUUUUUUUCUGUUUUUAAAUUUUUUUUGCUUUUGCACAGAAAUGGUAGAUUGGGGGGGGGGGGGGGGGGG